RNAcentral lists this long non-coding RNA (221 nucleotides) under Carica papaya (papaya). RNAcentral's name for it is "long non-coding RNA (CPAP_LNC004148)". Lineage: Eukaryota; Viridiplantae; Streptophyta; Magnoliopsida; Brassicales; Caricaceae. The record is from RNAcentral.
CAUACACCUUAGGAAGACCCAACACCUAUUUAUAUAAUUUCUUUGCGAAUGUUUUUAUUUUAUCCGCUGGUGGGAUCAGCAUUGAACCUUCAUAAACUCUUGGUUGAGAGUAGAAAAACUAAAUCUCUAGUUCUAUAUCCAUAGAAAAGCAAUUAAAUUUGAGGUAGGAUUACUGUCCUCUUAAAAUGUUGAGGGAUCAUAUGGGUAGCAAAUAUCAUAGU